Molecule: ribosomal RNA, 641 nt
Filed under: uncultured rumen bacterium
Lineage: Bacteria
Description: bacterial SSU rRNA
Rfam family: Bacterial small subunit ribosomal RNA
Source: RNAcentral
AACGCUGGCGGCGUGCUUAACACAUGCAAGUCGAACGGAGGUUACGGCUUCGGCUGUAACUUCAGUGGCGGACGGGUGAGUAACGCGUGGGUAACCUGCCUUACACCGGGGGAUAACAGUUGGAAACGACUGCUAAUACCGCAUAAGACCACGGGGCCGCAUGGUUCUGGGGUAAAAGUUCCGGCGAUGUAAGGUGGACCCGCGUCUGAUUAGCCAGUUGGCGGGGUAACGGCCCACCAAAGCGACGAUCAGUAGCCGACCUGAGAGGGUGAUCGGCCACAUUGGGACUGAGACACGGCCCAAACUCCUACGGGAGGCAGCAGUGGGGAAUAUUGGGCAAUGGGCGAAAGCCUGACCCAGCGACGCCGCGUGAGUGAAGAAGUAUUUCGGUAUGUAAAGCUCUAUCAGCAGGGAAGAUAAUGACGGUACCUGACUAAGAAGCACCGGCUAAAUACGUGCCAGCAGCCGCGGUAAUACGUAUGGUGCAAGCGUUAUCCGGAUUUACUGGGUGUAAAGGGAGCGUAGGUGGUAUGGCAAGCCAGAAGUGAAAACCCGGGGCUCAACUCCGCGGAUUGCUUUUGGAACUGUUGAACUAAAGUGCUGGAGGGGUAAGCGGAAUUCCCAGUGUAGCGGUGAAAUGC